RNAcentral lists this unclassified non-coding RNA (378 nucleotides) under plant metagenome. Its description in RNAcentral is "partial contains 5.8S ribosomal RNA, internal transcribed spacer 2, and large subunit ribosomal RNA". The stretch from base 1 to 105 matches the Rfam family "5.8S ribosomal RNA", at positions 50 to 154 of the family's 154-position model. The record is from RNAcentral.
GAAAUGCGAUAAGUAAUGUGAAUUGCAGAAUUCAGUGAAUCAUCGAAUCUUUGAACGCACCUUGCGCUCCUUGGUCUUCCUUGGAGCAUGCCUGUUUGAGUAUCAUGAAAUCUUCAAAGUAAAUCUUUUGUUAACUCAAUUGGUUUCUACUUUGGUAUUGGAGGUCUUUGCAGCUUCACACCUGCUCCUCUUUGUUCAUUAGCUGGAUCUCAGUGUUAUGCUUGGUUCCACUCGGCGUGAUAAGUUAUCUAUCGCUGAGGACACUGUAAAAGGUGGCCAAGGUAAAUGCAGAUGAACCGCUUCUAAUAGUCCAUUGACUUGGACAAUACUUUUAUGAUCUGAUCUCAAAUCAGGUAGAACUACCCGCUGAACUUAAGC